AUUACCCCAAUAGCUAGCUCAACCAUAAAAAAUUAACAAACGACAUUAAUUAGCCCCCAAUAAACUAAUACACUAAAACAAACCAUUUUUCCACCCAAGUACGGGAGACAGAAAAGGACCCCCUGACGCAAUAGAGAAAGUACCGCAAGGGAAAGCUGAAAGAGAAUUGAAACAACCCAGUUAAGGAUAUAAAAGCAGAGGCUAAACCUCGUACCUUUUGCAUCAUGAUUUAGCAAGUAUAGGAUAAGCAAAGAGCCCUUUAUGUUUAUAACCCCGAAACUUGGCGAGCUACUCCAAGACAGCCUAUUAUAGGGCAAACCCGUCUCUGUGGCAAAAGAGUGGGAAGAGCUUUGAGUAGAGGUGAUAGACCUACCGAGCCUAGUUAUAGCUGGUUGCCUGAAAAAUGAAUAGAAGUUCAGCCCUUUAAUCCCUCCACCCAAGAAAGGUCCCACCUUACAGACGGAUCAGAGUGAAUUAAAGGAGUUAUUCGAAAGAGGGACAGCUCUUUUGAAGAAAGAUACAACUUUUCAAGAAGGUUAAAGAUCAAAAGACCCAAGGAACUACACCCAAGUGGGCCUAAAAGCAGCCACCCCUUAAGAAAGCGUUAAAGCUCAAGUGUUUAUAGCCUUUAAUUUCGACUAAUAUAUCUUUUACCCCUUAAGAAUAUCAGGCCCCUCCAUGCCUCCAUGGAUAAGAUAAUGCUAAAAUGAGUAAUAAGAGAGUCAGACUCUCUCUCAAAUGCACCCGCGUAAGUCAGAACGAACCCCCACUGAAAAUUAACGCCCCCAAUGCCCCAGAGGGUAAUGAAAUGUAAACACAAAACAGGAAAAACCUCCAACCCAUAAGCGUUAACCCCACACAGGUGUGCCCUGAGAAAGACAAAAAGAGAAAGAAGGAACUCGGCAAACAAUGGCCUCGCCUGUUUACCAAAAACAUCGCCUCUUGCCCCAAUAGUAUAAGAGGUCCCGCCUGCCCUGUGACGAAAGUUUAACGGCCGCGGUAUUUUGACCGUGCGAAGGUAGCGUAAUCACUUGUCUUUUAAAUAGAGACCUGUAUGAAUGGCAUAACGAGGGCUAAGCUGUCUCCUUUUUCUAGUCAAUGAAAUUGAUUUACCCGUGCAGAAGCGGGUAUAAUAACAUAAGACGAGAAGACCCUAUGGAGCUUAAGACACCAAAACAGACCACGUUAAACCCCCUAGGAGAGUAGGAAUAAACCAAAUGAUGCCUGUUUACUUGUCUUUGGUUGGGGCGACCGCGGAGAAAUAACCAACCCCCACGUGGAACGGGUAAUCAACCCUAAAGCCAGAGCCACAGCUCUAACGAACAGAAGAUCUGACCAGCAAGAUCCGGCAUAGCCGAUCAACGGACCCAGUUACCCUAGGGAUAACAGCGCAAUCCCCUUUUAGAGCCCAUAUCGACAAGGGGGUUUACGACCUCGAUGUUGGAUCAGGACAUCCUAAUGGUGCAGCCGCUAUUAAGGGUUCGUUUGUUCAACGAUUAAAGUCCUACGUGAUCUGAGUUCAGACCGGAGAAAUCCAGGUCAGUUUCUAUCUAUGAGUGCACUCUUUUCUAGUACGAAAGGACCGGAAAGAGGGGGCCCAUGCUUUAAGUAAGCCCCACCCCUACCUAGUGAGCCCCACUAAAAAAGGUAAAGGGGGUUGCCCUUAAGCCCGAGAAAAAGGCAA
RNAcentral lists this ribosomal RNA (1684 nucleotides) under Stonogobiops yasha (orange-striped shrimpgoby). Its description in RNAcentral is "16S ribosomal RNA". It matches the Rfam family "Bacterial large subunit ribosomal RNA". The record is from RNAcentral. Lineage: Eukaryota; Metazoa; Chordata; Actinopteri; Gobiiformes; Gobiidae.